CUCACAGCAGCAGCAAGAUCUUAGGGGCAAUGCCCCAGUUGCUCCUUCUGCCAGCUCUACCCCCACAGGGGGAUGGGACAUUUCAGGCCAGAUAGGGACAAGGCCUGGCUGUCUCCAGCCUGGCCCAGGGCAGGAACACUGUGGUUUACAAACACAGAACAGGGUGUGCAGCCAGACACUGCUAUGGCCUUCACCCAACCUGGCAGGGGAUGCCAGCCGUUCCCACCCCCAUGCCAGCUGGGCUGGAGGACCCCAAAGCUCUGCUGGGCUCAGAACCUACAGCCAGAGCCCUAGUUAGCCCUGCUAGGUCCUGCCCAUAUAGGGUAGGUUGGCAGCAAGGACCCCAACAAAGUGACCUGUGCAAGCUGCUAAUGGGGCAGAUCUUGGGGGCAUCCUCUCUGGAACAGUGUCGCCAAGGAGACCCAACCCAGCCCCAGAACCAGUGCAGGCAAGCUGCCCCUAAGUCUCCUGCAGUGGCGCUCAGAGCUUCCUGACGGGGAUGAGAGAAGAGAAGGGACCUGGGAUCAGAACACUCAUCUGGCAUCCUGGCUUCCAGCUUCCUGCCUGAGCUGCUGCUUUGGAGUCCCUGCCCUGCCUGACCAGUGCCUACGUCCUGUUCUCCUCAGAGUGCGGUCCUCAGCUGACAGGCCUGGGAUGUGAGGAGCUGAGCUCCACCUGAAGGCUCCCGAAGUACGCUGACAAGUUCUCCAGGCCACACUGCCAUCCACAGGCCUCACUGGCCAUCAGCAUUGGUCUUGGCCCCAGAGAGCAUGUAUGAGUUAGGUUUCUGUAACUCUGAAAAUACCCGAGAUACUCAGUUUGGAGAGAGAAAGUGUUUACUUUGGCUCGUGGCUUCAGUGCUUCUGUGAAUGGUGGAGCUGCAGGGUGGGGCUUGAGCAGCCCAUCUUGUGGGCAAAGGCACAGCUCACCUCAUGCAUUUUCUAUUAUGACUUCUGUGGAUGGUCACAGGUGUGAAGAUGAGAUGUGAAGGCCAUGCCUACGUGUGAUUCCCAGACAAGCCAUUUCUUCUUACGAAGUUUUGUAUUAAAAAUGAUUGUACAUUUUAAUUAAAAAUGAAGCUUUAUACAUAGCUACCCACAUAUGUACAAACCAUUCUGAGAGUUUUGG
Peromyscus maniculatus bairdii (prairie deer mouse) is the source of this 1128-nucleotide non-coding RNA. Lineage: Eukaryota; Metazoa; Chordata; Mammalia; Rodentia; Cricetidae. The record is from RefSeq and is a predicted model, not a curated record.